GGCGCGCAAUUACCCAAUCCCGACACGGGGAGGUAGUGACAAUAAAUACUGAUACAGGGCUCUUUUGGGUCUUGUAAUUGGAAUGAGUACAAUUUAAAUCCCUUAACGAGAAACAAUUGGAGGGCAAGUCUGGUGCCAGCAGCCGCGGUAAUUCCAGCUCCAAUAGCGUAUAUUAAAGUUGUUGUGGUUAAAAAGCUCGUAGUUGAACCUUGGGCCUGGCUGGCCGGUCCGCCUCACCGCGUGUACUGGUCCGGCCGGGCCUUUCCCUCUGUGGAACCCCAUGCCCUUCACUGGGUGUGGCGGGGAAACAGGACUUUUACUUUGAAAAAAUUAGAGUGCUCCAGGCAGGCCUAUGCUCGAAUACAUUAGCAUGGAAUAAUAGAAUAGGACGUGUGGUUCUAUUUUGUUGGUUUCUAGGACCGCCGUAAUGAUUAAUAGGGACAGUCGGGGGCAUCAGUAUUCAAUUGUCAGAGGUGAAAUUCUUGGAUUUAUUGAAGACUAACUACUGCGAAAGCAUUUGCCAAGGAUGUUUUCAUUAAUCAGGAACGAAAGUUAGGGGAUCGAAGACGAUCAGAUACCGUCGUAGUCUUAGCCAUAAACUAUGCCGACUAGGGAUCGGACGAUGUUAUUUUUUGACUCGUUCGGCACCUUACGAGAAAUCAAAGUGCUUGGGCUCCAGGGGGA
This 684-nucleotide ribosomal RNA is filed under the name uncultured eukaryote. RNAcentral describes it as "SSU rRNA". It matches the Rfam family "Eukaryotic small subunit ribosomal RNA", at positions 431 to 1122 of the family's 1831-position model. The record is from RNAcentral.